GGGGAAUUUUCCGCAAUGGGCGAAAGCCUGACGGAGCAAUCUCGCGUGAGGGAUGACUGCCUAUGGGUUGUAAACCUCUUUUUUCAGGGAGGAAUCAAUGACGUGAACCUGAAGAAUAAGCAUCGGCUAACUCCGUGCCAGCAGCCGCGGUAAGACGGAGGAUGCAAGUGUUAUCCGGAAUCACUGGGCGUAAAGCGUCUGUAGGUGGUUUAAUAAGUCAACUGUUAAAUCUUGAAGCUCAACUUCAAAAUCGCAGUCGAAACUAUUAGACUAGAGUAUAGUAGGGGUAAAGGGAAUUUCCAGUGGAGCGGUGAAAUGCGUANAGAUUGGAAAGAACACCGAUGGCGAAGGCACUUUACUGGGCUAUUACUGACACUCAGAGACGAAAGCUAGGGUAGCAAAUGGGAUUAGAUACCCCAGUAGUC
This 425-nucleotide ribosomal RNA is filed under the name uncultured cyanobacterium. RNAcentral's name for it is "bacterial SSU rRNA". It matches the Rfam family "Bacterial small subunit ribosomal RNA", at positions 356 to 795 of the family's 1533-position model. The record is from RNAcentral. Lineage: Bacteria; Bacillati; Cyanobacteriota.